RNAcentral lists this non-coding RNA (22 nucleotides) under Mus musculus (house mouse). Lineage: Eukaryota; Metazoa; Chordata; Mammalia; Rodentia; Muridae. RNAcentral also lists the same sequence under 1 other name. The record is from RNAcentral.
UGAAAUCAAUUUCAUGGGCUGC